AAACUCUAUUGUGUUGUGACGUUUAUUUUGUAUGGGGAAAAUAAAAAUAAACAACAAUUGAGAAUAAGAAAGAUUAAAACAAUGCAUCAGUGUGAGAAAUAAAUUGAGAUAAUGCCGAAAAAUUCGAAAUGCGUGGUGCCUCAUUGCGGGCAUGCACAACAGAAGAAUAAAGAAUGUAUUUACGUGAAAUUUCCCCGAGAAGUUGAAAGAUGCAAGAAAUGGGUACAGGCUGGGAGCGUAGAGGACCUCACAAGCUUGUCAAUAGAGAAGCUCAAUGGGAUAC
Diachasma alloeum is the source of this 283-nucleotide long non-coding RNA. RefSeq lists it as uncharacterized. The record is from RefSeq and is a predicted model, not a curated record. NCBI's taxonomy places the organism in Eukaryota, Metazoa, Arthropoda, Insecta, Hymenoptera, Braconidae. The transcript has 3 exons.